UGGGGAAUCUUGGACAAUGGGGGCAACCCUGAUCCAGCGACGCCGCGUGGGUGGUAAGGCCUUCGGGUUGUAAAGCCCUUUCACCGGGGAAGAUGAUGACAUUACCCGGAGAAGAAGCGCCGGCUAACUCCGUGCCAGCAGCCGCGGUAAUACGGAGGAUGCAAGCGUUAUCCGGAAUUAUUGGGCGUAAAGCGUCCGCAGGUGGCACUUCAAGUCUGCUGUCAAAGACCAGAGCUCAACUCUGGGCAGGCGGUGGAAACUGGGGAGCUAGAGUACGGUAGGGGUAGAGGGAAUUUCCAGUGUAGCGGUGAAAUGCGUAGAGAUUGGAAAGAACACCAGUGGCGAAGGCGCUCUACUGGACCUGUACUGACACUAAGGGACGAAAGCUAGGGGAGCGAAAGGGAUUAGAUACCCCCGUAGUCC
Molecule: ribosomal RNA, 423 nt
Filed under: uncultured prokaryote
Description: bacterial SSU rRNA
Rfam family: Bacterial small subunit ribosomal RNA
Source: RNAcentral